This 253-nucleotide ribosomal RNA is filed under the name uncultured bacterium. RNAcentral describes it as "partial 16S ribosomal RNA". It matches the Rfam family "Bacterial small subunit ribosomal RNA", at positions 524 to 776 of the family's 1533-position model. The record is from RNAcentral.
UACGUAGGGUGCAAGCGUUGUCCGGAAUUAUUGGGCGUAAAGGGCUCGUAGGCGGUUUGUCGCGUCGGGAGUGAAAACCAGAGGCUUAACUUCUGGCUUGCUUUCGAUACGGGCAGACUUGAGGCAUGCAGGGGAGAACGGAAUUCCUGGUGUAGCGGUGAAAUGCGCAGAUAUCAGGAGGAACACCGGUGGCGAAGGCGGUUCUCUGGGCAUGUUCUGACGCUGAGGAGCGAAAGUGUGGGGAGCGAACAGG